AUGGUAAUUUUGGUGCAUACCUGUAGUCCAAGGGACAUGGGAGGCUGGCUUGAGUCCCUGAAUUCUGGGCUAGAGUGCACUCUGCCAAUUGGAUAUCCACACUGAGUUCAACAUCAAUAUGGUGACCUCCCAGGAGCGAGGGACCACCAGCGGCCUAAGGAGGGGUGAACAGGCCCAGGUCAGAAAGUGAACAGGUCGAAAGUCCUGUGCUGAUCAGUACACCUAUAAAUAGCUACUGUACUCCAGCCUGGACAACAUAGCAAGAUCCCGU
RNAcentral lists this signal recognition particle RNA (271 nucleotides) under Saimiri boliviensis boliviensis (Bolivian squirrel monkey). RNAcentral's name for it is "Metazoan signal recognition particle RNA (ENSSBOG00000005826.1)". It matches the Rfam family "Metazoan signal recognition particle RNA". From Rfam's summary of the family: The signal recognition particle (SRP) is a universally conserved ribonucleoprotein. It is involved in the co-translational targeting of proteins to membranes. The eukaryotic SRP consists of a 300-nucleotide 7S RNA and six proteins: SRPs 72, 68, 54, 19, 14, and 9. The record is from RNAcentral. Lineage: Eukaryota; Metazoa; Chordata; Mammalia; Primates; Cebidae.